This is a long non-coding RNA of Anopheles arabiensis, 1001 nucleotides long. RefSeq lists it as uncharacterized. The record is from RefSeq and is a predicted model, not a curated record. The transcript has 2 exons. Lineage: Eukaryota; Metazoa; Arthropoda; Insecta; Diptera; Culicidae.
UAGUUCAAAUUUCACUACGUGCUGUCUUGUGCUGGGAAGGUUUGACCGGAGUGAAAUGGACAGGUUUAUCGCAAUUUUGGUACUGAUACCAGCUGAACGGACAACAACAAAAAUUCUUCAGUGCUUGCUGCCGUGCGGCAAUAACAACCAUCGUAUUGGAAAUUGAAAAGCUGCAGUACACGGUAACAUGCAACCCAGGGGUGGGAAUGGGCGCGGCUGUUUUAAUUAAAGCAUCGAGAGACAAUUUAUAGAAUCGUGAGAGAAGUAACGCAAAGUACCAGUGCCGCCGAAACGUGGUCAUACAACUCGGUAACCUACUUCCAAGGGUUUGGGAUGGGGGCGCAUAGUCAACACGCUACCGACACACGUACACCCUCUGGAAUAACAAGUGCACGGUGGUUGCUUCGUGGAAGAGAAGUGGGAAACAUAAAAAUCAAAGCAAUGGGCAGCAAUGGAAAAGAGUCGGAAAGGAACAAGCGCUUGUAGAUAGUAUUUCUAUCAAAUGAAAAUCUGUCCCCAGACAGUGUCCCGCCACACACUUACCAUUCACCGUCCCUCAGGGAAGACAGGAGAGUGUUUGGCGUACAAGGUGAGAGAAUGCAAAAAUUAAAAAAGAGGGCGAAAAAAGACGCGGAAGAAAACUCAAGGCAAAAUUAAAUCAACACUUUACGAUCCCCGGGCCACGGCGGUUGUCAUCGAGCGUCGCGCUCGUAAUGUUGCCGGGCGUCACGAGUUGCAAAACGGAAAACGUGCUGGAAGUAUAAAUCUUUAUUGCAAUCACAACGACCCCACCGGGGACGGCCGGACACCUGGGUGAUACCGAGAUACAGGUCCUUCUGGUGGACAGGUGAAAGAUGAGACAGAGGGAACGUGUAUCGCUCGAGCGUCGCUCGUACCGGUGGAAGCUUGCAAGUCAUCGUUCGUUCAUCCAUUUGAAGGAGGAGCACCAUAUAAAUUUGUAUCCGAUUUUGCGUUUACUGAUUUAAUUUCUCGUAACCCCA